CUGCAUCCUCAAAACUCUUAGUUGUUUUUCUAUCACAAUACCCAGGUAAUAAGAAAUGCCAAAUAAAGGCUCCAGAGAAUUCCAAAGUGCUGAGCUCUGCUCGUACUCUUCAUUAUUUCACAUCUCUGACAUGA
This is a small nucleolar RNA of Mobula hypostoma (lesser devil ray), 134 nucleotides long. RefSeq annotates it as small nucleolar RNA SNORA14. NCBI's taxonomy places the organism in Eukaryota, Metazoa, Chordata, Chondrichthyes, Myliobatiformes, Myliobatidae. The transcript has a single exon. The record is from RefSeq and is a predicted model, not a curated record.